GGCCCAGUGGCGGAUGGGCCGCGCCUGCACUCAAUAGCUUGUCUUUCGACAAUGAGUUUCUGCAGGAUCUGCUCGUUCGAAUCGAGCCUGGGCCU
Mycena vulgaris is the source of this 95-nucleotide non-coding RNA. Lineage: Eukaryota; Fungi; Basidiomycota; Agaricomycetes; Agaricales; Mycenaceae. The record is from the annotation of a GenBank genome assembly.